GCGCGGGUGGCGGAAUUGGUAGACGCGCUAGACUAAGGAUCUAGUCCGAGUUAAUCGGGUGCGGGUUCGAUUCCCGCCUCGCGCACCA
This 88-nucleotide transfer RNA is filed under the name Verrucomicrobiales bacterium. RNAcentral describes it as "tRNA-Leu". It matches the Rfam family "tRNA". Rfam says of the family: Transfer RNA (tRNA) molecules are approximately 80 nucleotides in length. RNAcentral also lists the same sequence under 6 other names. Lineage: Bacteria; Pseudomonadati; Verrucomicrobiota; Verrucomicrobiia; Verrucomicrobiales. The record is from RNAcentral.